RNAcentral lists this ribosomal RNA (660 nucleotides) under bacterium 71-L049658-122-015-G09. RNAcentral's name for it is "bacterial SSU rRNA". It matches the Rfam family "Bacterial small subunit ribosomal RNA", at positions 56 to 730 of the family's 1533-position model. The record is from RNAcentral.
UGCAGUCGAACGAUGAACCUCGCUUGCGGGUGGAUUAGUGGCGAACGGGUGAGUAACACGUGAGUAACCUGCCCUUGACUCUGGGAUAAGCCUGGGAAACUGGGUCUAAUACCGGAUAUGACCUUCCAUCGCAUGGUGGUUGGUGGAAAGCUUUUGUGGUUUUGGAUGGACUCGCGGCCUAUCAGCUUGUUGGUGGGGUAAUGGCCUACCAAGGCGACGACGGGUAGCCGGCCUGAGAGGGUGACCGGCCACACUGGGACUGAGACACGGCCCAGACUCCUACGGGAGGCAGCAGUGGGGAAUAUUGCACAAUGGGCGGAAGCCUGAUGCAGCGACGCCGCGUGAGGGAUGACGGCCUUCGGGUUGUAAACCUCUUUCAGUAGGGAAGAAGCCGCAAGGUGACGGUACCUGCAGAAGAAGCGCCGGCUAACUACGUGCCAGCAGCCGCGGUAAUACGUAGGGCGCAAGCGUUAUCCGGAAUUAUUGGGCGUAAAGAGCUCGUAGGCGGUUUGUCGCGUCUGCCGUGAAAGUCCGGGGCUCAACUCCGGAUCUGCGGUGGGUACGGGCAGACUAGAGUGAUGUAGGGGAGACUGGAAUUCCUGGUGUAGCGGUGAAAUGCGCAGAUAUCAGGAAGAACACCGAUGGGCGAAGCAGGUCUCU